Molecule: long non-coding RNA, 655 nt
Organism: Manis javanica (Malayan pangolin)
Lineage: Eukaryota; Metazoa; Chordata; Mammalia; Pholidota; Manidae
Source: RefSeq, a predicted model, not a curated record
CGGCUACUUCCGCCCCCUACAGACGUCAGCGGCUCUGCCGCGCACGUCACGAGGCUUGUUUUCUGGCGUCUCUGACUGGCCGGCUCCUUUUGCGCAGACCUAAUGUCCUUUCACCUGAUAGUCACUCCCUCAGCCUUGGGACGGUCUGAGACCCGGAAGCUGUGACCUGUGGCUCCACUGGCCGGGGUGCGCUAAUGUUUUUCUCGUUUCCAUCAAAGGACUAAAGUUCUGGGAAAGGAGCCAAUCCUGGUGGAUCCUUCAGGUGAUAGAGACUCCAGAUAUAUGCAGCUGAGAACAUCACCUUGAAAAAACAAAUGAUGUAUUCUUAUGUUUCUUUGUUGGUGAACAUUUACGUUGCGUAUUUCCACAGUGGAGGAGAGCUAUCAGGCUUCCUAGAUUAGAGACCAUCACAGGGCAUCCUUGGGAGCAGUGACCUGAAGAUGGACAAGCCAUAGGAUGGAAGGAGCUGCAUCUCUGAGUCACCACUGGAGAACAGUCACCCCCAGUGGAUUUGGAGAGAAGUCUUCUCUAAUAUUCACUUCUAAGUCCCCAUUGUAAUCUACUUCUUUUAUUCUCCAGCACUCAGUGUGGUUUAGGUUGAAUUCUAGAUUCUCAUAAUAUCUUGGACAUGGAUAAUAAGGAAAAGACCUUCACA